UGUUGGUCUUCAACGAGGAAUGCCUAGUAAGCGCGAGUCAUCAGCUCGCGUUGACUACGUCCCUGCCCUUUGUACACACCGCCCGUCGCUCCUACCGAUUGAAUGGUCCGGUGAAGUGUUCGGAUCGCGGCGACUGGGGCGGUUCGCCGCCCCCGACGUCGCGAGAAGUCCAUUGAACCUUAUCAUUUAGAGGAAGGAGAAGUCGUAACAAGGUUUCCGUAGGUGAACCUGCGGAAGGAUCAUU
RNAcentral lists this ribosomal RNA (244 nucleotides) under Aniselytron treutleri. Its description in RNAcentral is "partial 18S ribosomal RNA". It matches the Rfam family "Eukaryotic small subunit ribosomal RNA", at positions 1591 to 1830 of the family's 1831-position model. The record is from RNAcentral. Lineage: Eukaryota; Viridiplantae; Streptophyta; Magnoliopsida; Poales; Poaceae.